UAGAAAGAAACUCGUUGGUUGGAGUAUUUAGCUGUUAACUAAAAAGUUGUAGGAUCAAGGCCUGCCUUUCUAG
RNAcentral lists this transfer RNA (73 nucleotides) under Limnonectes fujianensis (Fujian large-headed frog). RNAcentral's name for it is "tRNA-Asn". Lineage: Eukaryota; Metazoa; Chordata; Amphibia; Anura; Dicroglossidae. The record is from RNAcentral.